UGUCUGGGAUGACAAAAACAUACGCUUCUCGAUUCUAACACUUGAUUUAUUCAAGGACCAAACUUGGAUGAGCUUUGUGCGUGUCUGAGCCAA
Phragmites australis (common reed) is the source of this 93-nucleotide small nucleolar RNA. RefSeq annotates it as small nucleolar RNA snoR126. The record is from RefSeq and is a predicted model, not a curated record. NCBI's taxonomy places the organism in Eukaryota, Viridiplantae, Streptophyta, Magnoliopsida, Poales, Poaceae. The transcript has a single exon.